RNAcentral lists this ribosomal RNA (588 nucleotides) under uncultured Bacteroidota bacterium. Its description in RNAcentral is "bacterial SSU rRNA". It matches the Rfam family "Bacterial small subunit ribosomal RNA", at positions 71 to 655 of the family's 1533-position model. The record is from RNAcentral. Lineage: Bacteria; Pseudomonadati; Bacteroidota.
AGAUCUAGCUUGCUAGAUGCUGACGAGUGGCGCACGGGUGAGUAACGCGUAUACAAUCUACCUUUAACUGAGGGAUAGCCCAGAGAAAUUUGGAUUAAUACCUCAUAGUAUUAUAGAAAGGCAUCUUUUUAUAAUUAAAACUCCGGUGGUUAAAGAUGAGUAUGCGUCCUAUUAGCUUGUUGGUAAGGUAAAAGCUUACCAAGGCUACGAUAGGUAGGGGGCCUGAAAGGGUGAUCCCCCACACUGGUACUGAGACACGGACCAGACUCCUACGGGAGGCAGCAGUGAGGAAUAUUGCACAAUGGAGGAAACUCUGAUGCAGCCAUGCCGCGUGCAGGAUGAAUGCCCUAUGGGUUGUAAACUGCUUUUAUACAAGAAGAAACCUCGGUACGUGUACCGACUUGACGGUAUUGUAUGAAUAAGCACCGGCUAACUCCGUGCCAGCAGCCGCGGUAAUACGGAGGGUGCAAGCGUUAUCCGGAUUUAUUAGGUUUAAAGGGUCCGCAGGCGGAAUAUUAAGUCAGUGGUGAAAGCCUACAGCUCAACUGUAGAACUGCCAUUGAAACUGUUAUUCUUGAGUAUGGAUGA